Molecule: long non-coding RNA, 1063 nt
Filed under: Equus caballus (horse)
Lineage: Eukaryota; Metazoa; Chordata; Mammalia; Perissodactyla; Equidae
Description: lncRNA (ENSECAG00000057364.1)
Source: RNAcentral
GUCCCCAAAGUUUUGAAACUUGGAAACAAAAUUGUAAACUGUUUAUAAAACUUCUAUAACUAUCAGAGGGAAGAGGAACCUAAGAAGACAUGACAAUUAAAUGUAAUAACAACCACUAAAAGGUUCAAAUAGAUGUGGCAAGUGAAGUCAGCAGCAAAUGGUGGAAUAGGAGUCUUUUAACAUCCUCCUUCCUCAGAAGCAGCAAUUUUGACAACUACCCAAGGACAAAAGUACUCUGUGGGAGUCCUGGAGUCCAGCAGGGAAAUUCCAGCACACCAUUGGAGAAAAAAAAUCUGAGAAUAGAUACAUUGAAGAAGGAAAGAAGAUACUUUAACUUUACCAGUGUAAUCUCUCUCCCAAGGUGACAUAGUUCAGUGCCAAGAGAAACCCCCUUGGCCUACAAUGUCUCCCUUGGACAAAAGUGAAAGCAUAGUGAUUGAGUACCCAGCUCUCCAAGUCAGGCAGGAUGCUGUCCAAAAGGCCCGCUUCUUUACUGCCUCACCCAGAUUACUGAGGUGAUUGGAACAGCUGAGAGUUUGGAAGACGUUGGAAGCAGGGAAGAGGGGCCCAUAUCCUACUAACUGCUCCCCAGAUUCCAUCAGGAAGACCACCAUGAGCUAUUUGUGAUCCCUCUCCUGUGCAUCUCCAAAUGGCCCACAGGCACCCCAAACACUCCACAUGCCUCACCCUUCCUCCCCCAGCUGGCUCCCCAAAUACACCUGUGUGGACAGCAAGUGCAAGUGUCUCAUGCAGAUAGCCAGCUCUGCACUACAAAAUUGGAGGAAGGCACACAAACUUAAGCAUUUCAGCAUUUGUUUAGGCUCUCAGCACCUAGCCUGGCAUCCCAAGAUCAAGAGAAGGUAUACAAUCUUAAGAAUUCUUCCCCAGAGAGAACAAGAGGUGAGGAGUAGAUGAAUCCAUAGAAAAGUCUGAGAAAUUCUCAGAAUCCAUAGAUGGGCUGACUGGUGAAGGCAAUCCUUUCUGGAAGCUAGUCAGUAAAGACUGAAGCAGGUGACUACUUCUUCAAAUAUGAAGACAAAACUUCAAGGAAACACACCACCAC